AGAGUUUGAUCCUGGCUCAGGACGAACGCUGGCGGCGUGCCUAACACAUGCAAGUCGAACGGAACUUACCGAAUGAAGCUUUCGGGUGGAUUUUGAUAAGUUAGUGGCGGACGGGUGAGUAACGCGUGAGUAACCUGCCCUUGAGAGGGGGAUAACGUCUGGAAACGGACGCUAAUACCGCAUAAAAUUAUCCAGUCGCAUGGCAGGAUAAUCAAAGGAGCAAUCCGCUGAAGGAUGGACUCGCGUCCGAUUAGAUAGUUGGCGGGGUAACGGCCCACCAAGUCGACGAUCGGUAGCCGGACUGAGAGGUUGAACGGCCACAUUGGGACUGAGACACGGCCCAGACUCCUACGGGAGGCAGCAGUGGGGGAUAUUGCACAAUGGGCGAAAGCCUGAUGCAGCAACGCCGCGUGAGGGAAGACGGUUUUCGGAUUGUAAACCUCUGUUCUAAGUGACGAAGAAUGACGGUAGCUUAGGAGGAAGCCCCGGCUAACUACGUGCCAGCAGCCGCGGUAAUACGUAGGGGGCAAGCGUUGUCCGGAAUUACUGGGUGUAAAGGGAGCGCAGGCGGAGAAGCAAGUCAGUGGUGAAAGGUAUGGGCUUAACCCAUAGACUGCCAUUGAAACUGUUUUCCUUGAGUGAAGUAGAGGCAGGCGGAAUUCCGAGUGUAGCGGUGAAAUGCGUAGAUAUUCGGAGGAACACCAGUGGCGAAGGCGGCCUGCUGGGCUUUAACUGACGCUGAGGCUCGAAAGUGUGGGGGAGCAAACAGGAUUAGAUACCCUGGUAGUCC
This 790-nucleotide ribosomal RNA is filed under the name uncultured bacterium. RNAcentral describes it as "bacterial SSU rRNA". It matches the Rfam family "Bacterial small subunit ribosomal RNA", at positions 8 to 796 of the family's 1533-position model. The record is from RNAcentral.